AUGUACCACUCGUACAUUCCGGUUCCUGCGCGCCGUCCGCGCCCACCCGACGGCUGCUCGCUACGUCUUGCUAGUC
Molecule: small RNA, 76 nt
Filed under: Xanthomonas citri pv. glycines
Lineage: Bacteria; Pseudomonadati; Pseudomonadota; Gammaproteobacteria; Lysobacterales; Lysobacteraceae
Also listed under: 3 other names
Description: sX9 sRNA
Rfam family: Xanthomonas sRNA sX9
Source: RNAcentral